CUGGCGGCAGGCUUAACACAUGCAAGUCGAACGGUAACAUGAGUGCUUGCACUUGAUGACGAGUGGCGGACGGGUGAGUAAGGUAUGGGGAUCUGCCAAAUGGAGGGGGACAACAGUUGGAAACGACUGCUAAUACCGCAUAAAGUUGAGAGACCAAAGUACGGUUCCGCAAGGACGUGCGCCAUUUGAUGAACCCAUAUGGGAUUAGCUAGUUGGUGUGGUAAAGGCUCACCAAGGCGACGAUCUCUAGCUGGUCUGAGAGGAUGACCAGCCACACUGGAACUGAGACACGGUCCAGACUCCUACGGGAGGCAGCAGUGGGGAAUAUUGCACAAUGGGGGGAACCCUGAUGCAGCCAUGCCGCGUGUAUGAAGAAGGCCUUCGGGUUGUAAAGUACUUUCGGUAGUGAGGAAGUUGUGUGUAUGAAAAGUGCAUGCAAUUGACGUUAGCUACAGAAGAAGCACCGGCUAACUCCGUG
Molecule: ribosomal RNA, 478 nt
Filed under: uncultured bacterium
Lineage: Bacteria
Description: bacterial SSU rRNA
Rfam family: Bacterial small subunit ribosomal RNA
Source: RNAcentral